UGCCAGCCGCCGCGGUAAUACGGAGGGUGCAAGCGUUAAUCGGAAUUACUGGGCGUAAAGCGCGCGUAGGCGGUUGUUUUAGUCGGAUGUGAAAGCCCCGGGCUUAACCUGGGAACUGCAUCCGAUACUGGGCAACUAGAGUACGAGAGAGGGGGGUAGAAUUCCACGUGUAGCGGUGAAAUGCGUAGAUAUGUGGAGGAAUACCAGUGGCGAAGGCGGCCCCCUGGCUUGAUACUGACGCUGAGGUGCGAAAGCGUGGGGAGCAAACAGGAUUAGAUA
This 279-nucleotide ribosomal RNA is filed under the name uncultured bacterium. Its description in RNAcentral is "partial 16S ribosomal RNA". It matches the Rfam family "Bacterial small subunit ribosomal RNA", at positions 506 to 784 of the family's 1533-position model. The record is from RNAcentral.